UACAAAGGGUCAAAAGCCGACAGUGAGCGC
Molecule: non-coding RNA, 30 nt
Filed under: Mus musculus (house mouse)
Lineage: Eukaryota; Metazoa; Chordata; Mammalia; Rodentia; Muridae
Source: RNAcentral